GUCAGUGAGUGUGUUACUGUGUGUGUCUUACUGAGUGUGUGUGUUAGUGAGUCUGUUUGAUGUCUGUUAGUGAGUGUGUGUUUGUCAAUGAGAGUGUAUGUUUUGUAAGUGAGUGUGUAUGUAUGUCUGUCGCUGACUGUGUCUCUGUCAGUAAAUGUGUGUGUCUGUUAGCUAGUGUGUAUGCGUCUGUAAGUGUGUGUGUGUGUGUGUGUGUCUUCAGCACUUACCUUUCUCCAGCGCCGGACUCCCUUGGCGCUG
Non-coding RNA from Pelobates cultripes (western spadefoot toad), 258 nucleotides. The record is from the annotation of a GenBank genome assembly. NCBI's taxonomy places the organism in Eukaryota, Metazoa, Chordata, Amphibia, Anura, Pelobatidae.